CGCGCGAUACAGGGUGACAGCCCCGUACACAAAAGCGCAUGUGCUGUGAGCUCGAUGAGUAGGGCGGGACACGUGGUAUCCUGUCUGAAUAUGGGGGGACCAUCCUCCAAGGCUAAAUACUCCUGACUGACCGAUAGUGAACCAGUACCGUGAGGGAAAGGCGAAAAGAACCCCGGCGAGGGGAGUGAAAAAGAACCUGAAACCGUGUACGUACAAGCAGUGGGAGCACCCUUUGGGGUGUGACUGCGUACCUUUUGUAUAAUGGGUCAGCGACUUAUAUUCUGUAGCAAGGUUAACCGUAUAGGGGAGCCGUAGGGAAACCGAGUCUUAACCGGGCGUUAAGUUGCAGGGUAUAGACCCGAAACCCGGUGAUCUAGCCAUGGGCAGGUUGAAGGUUGGGUAACACUAACUGGAGGACCGAACCGACUAAUGUUGAAAAAUUAGCGGAUGACCUGUGGCUGGGGGUGAAAGGCCAAUCAAACCGGGAGAUAGCUGGUUCUCCCCGAAAGCUAUUUAGGUAGCGCCUCGUGAAUUCAUCUCCGGGGGUAGAGCACUGUUUCGGCUAGGGGGCCAUCCCGGCUUACCAACCCGAUGCAAACUGCGAAUACCGGAGAAUGUUAUCACGGGAGACACACGGCGGGUGCUAACGUCCGUCGUGAAGAGGGAAACAACCCAGACCGCCAGCUAAGGUCCCAAAGUCAUGGUUAAGUGGGAAACGAUGUGGGAAGGCCCAGACAGCCAGGAUGUUGGCUUAGAAGCAGCCAUCAUUUAAAGAAAGCGUAAUAGCUCACUGGUCGAGUCGGCCUGCGCGGAAGAUGUAACGGGGCUAAACCAU
RNAcentral lists this ribosomal RNA (835 nucleotides) under Salmonella enterica subsp. enterica serovar Thompson. Its description in RNAcentral is "partial 23S ribosomal RNA". It matches the Rfam family "Bacterial large subunit ribosomal RNA", at positions 351 to 1190 of the family's 2925-position model. The record is from RNAcentral. Lineage: Bacteria; Pseudomonadati; Pseudomonadota; Gammaproteobacteria; Enterobacterales; Enterobacteriaceae.